RNAcentral lists this antisense RNA (139 nucleotides) under Enterobacter kobei. RNAcentral's name for it is "sok antitoxin (CssrC)". It matches the Rfam family "sok antitoxin (CssrC)". From Rfam's summary of the family: Also identified in Shigella as CssrC. Lineage: Bacteria; Pseudomonadati; Pseudomonadota; Gammaproteobacteria; Enterobacterales; Enterobacteriaceae. The record is from RNAcentral.
GGGUGCUUGAGGCUUUCUGUCUUAAGUACACCGGGCAGAAAGAGAAAAGCCCCACUCGACUAUAAAUCGAAUGAGGCCAAUCCGAUGCCUGAACAACAGAAGAUUAGCCUCUUAAUUGUGAUAAAUCAAUCAGGAGGUU